Molecule: long non-coding RNA, 846 nt
Organism: Electrophorus electricus (electric eel)
Lineage: Eukaryota; Metazoa; Chordata; Actinopteri; Gymnotiformes; Gymnotidae
Source: RefSeq, a predicted model, not a curated record
CCGUCGGGCGGUAUUCUGUCUUUUUUCGAGUCGGGAUAGGGUUUUGAGUAUGUGAUUUUUUUCGGCGCCGCCAGACGCUGGGAAGAUCCAUGCAUCCUAUGGAUGAGAAGGUGAGGUGCUCCCUGACAGACCAUGGCUGUGGAAUGAUUAGGCAGUCCUGGUCUACAUGGUUUCUCACCUAUUAAAGCUGUAACCUGCUUCCACCUUUUUCACCAUUGUUUUAAAUCAGUUGUGCACAACUGGCAGGGUAUAGCUUUCAGUCUUGUUGCCUAACAUCUUACUGAGUUUUAAAACAUGAGUGUUCUGUAUUUAUUCCCUGCAUUGUGUGCUUGUCCUAAAUAGUAACGUGCAGUAAUUGUCCUGUGUAGCUGAGAUGUGAGUGAUGAUGCUUGGCCGUGUUUGAGCAGAAGGGUGCAGCCGGUGUGCACGGAAGUCCGUUGCCACGCCCUGCCUCAUUGCUGUUCCCUGCACGCCAGAGUUGGGGCAUUUGACACCCUUCUACCUGUGUGGGCUGUGCCGUACACUUAACUAUUCAGUUUAUAAUGCAAAAUAGAUUAACAUGUUCCAAAUUGUAUGCAGCUGGAUGUCAAGUGUAAUGGAUGAGCAGUCACAAUAAAUGAAUAUGAACAACUUUGGCCAAGUUGUCAUUAGCCUAUUAUGCAUGUUGGAUCUGUAGUAUGUGAUGGGGGCAGCCCUGGAGCAUCCAGUCCUGCAGAGAUCAUUUAGCUGCUGUUGGUACACUGGAGCUGGACUAACUACACCAACCCCUGCUACUUAAGAGUUGCAGUUAUGUCUACAUGUACCUCAUUCCUAUGGACUUGAAUAAAUGUGGGAAAUGGUUGUCCA